UAGCUCAGUCAGUUGAGCGUGGCGCUAACAACGCCAAGGUCGCGGGUUCGAUUCCCGU
Molecule: transfer RNA, 58 nt
Filed under: Apaloderma vittatum (bar-tailed trogon)
Lineage: Eukaryota; Metazoa; Chordata; Aves; Trogoniformes; Trogonidae
Rfam family: tRNA
About the family: Transfer RNA (tRNA) molecules are approximately 80 nucleotides in length. Their secondary structure includes four short double-helical elements and three loops (D, anti-codon, and T loops). Further hydrogen bonds mediate the characteristic L-shaped molecular structure. tRNAs have two regions of fundamental functional importance: the anti-codon, which is responsible for specific mRNA codon recognition, and the 3' end, to which the tRNAs corresponding amino acid is attached (by aminoacyl-tRNA synthetases). tRNAs cope with the degeneracy of the genetic code in two manners: having more than one tRNA (with a specific anti-codon) for a particular amino acid; and 'wobble' base-pairing, i.e. permitting non-standard base-pairing at the 3rd anti-codon position.
Source: Rfam by way of RNAcentral